CUGACUUAAGCAUAUCCAUAGCCGAAGGAA
RNAcentral lists this ribosomal RNA (30 nucleotides) under Hanseniaspora uvarum. Its description in RNAcentral is "partial 28S ribosomal RNA". Lineage: Eukaryota; Fungi; Ascomycota; Saccharomycetes; Saccharomycodales; Saccharomycodaceae. The record is from RNAcentral.